RNAcentral lists this non-coding RNA (88 nucleotides) under Azomonas macrocytogenes. Lineage: Bacteria; Pseudomonadati; Pseudomonadota; Gammaproteobacteria; Pseudomonadales; Pseudomonadaceae. The record is from RNAcentral.
UGUUAUGAGGGGAGUCGUGUAGGCACUCGCAAGAGUGGCCGGGUUCCUGACUCCGGUAAGGCUAACCUGCACGACUCCGCUCACCCGA